Molecule: ribosomal RNA, 327 nt
Filed under: uncultured bacterium
Lineage: Bacteria
Description: bacterial SSU rRNA
Rfam family: Bacterial small subunit ribosomal RNA
Source: RNAcentral
GCCUAACACAUGCAAGUCGAACGGUAACAGGAAGCAGCUUGCUGCCUCGCUGACGAGUGGCGGACGGGAACUCAAAGGAGACUGCCAGUGAUAAACUGGAGGAAGGUGGGGAUGACGUCAAGUCAUCAUGGCCCUUACGACCAGGGCUACACACGUGCUACAAUGGCGCAUACAAAGAGAAGCGACCUCGCGAGAGCAAGCGGACCUCAUAAAGUGCGUCGUAGUCCGGAUUGGAGUCUGCAACUCGACUCCAUGAAGUCGGAAUCGCUAGUAAUCGUGGAUCAGAAUGCCACGGUGAAUACGUUCCCGGGCCUUGUACACACCGCC